Molecule: ribosomal RNA, 423 nt
Filed under: uncultured bacterium
Lineage: Bacteria
Description: bacterial SSU rRNA
Rfam family: Bacterial small subunit ribosomal RNA
Source: RNAcentral
CGAGAAUUUUUCACAAUGGGCGAAAGCCUGAUGGAGCGACGCCGCGUGGGGGAUGAAUGGCUUCGGCCCGUAAACCCCUGUCAUUUGCGAACAAACCUUUUCAUUUAACACCUGAAAAGCUGAUUGUAGCGAAAGAGGAAGGGACGGCUAACUCUGUGCCAGCAGCCGCGGUAAUACAGAGGUCCCAAGCGUUGUUCGGAUUCACUGGGCGUAAAGGGUGCGUAGGUGGUGAGGUAAGUCGGAUGUGAAAUCUCCAAGCUCAACUUGGAAACUGCAUUGGAAACUACCUUGCUAGAGGAUUUGAGGGGGGAUUGGAAUACUUGGUGUAGCAGUGAAAUGCGUAGAUAUCAAGUGGAACACCAGUGGCGAAGGCGAAUCCCUGGAAAAUACCUGACACUGAGGCACGAAAGCUAGGGGAGCAAA